This is a long non-coding RNA of Ostrinia nubilalis (European corn borer), 351 nucleotides long. RefSeq lists it as uncharacterized. Lineage: Eukaryota; Metazoa; Arthropoda; Insecta; Lepidoptera; Crambidae. The transcript is spliced from 2 exons. The record is from RefSeq and is a predicted model, not a curated record.
UUAGAUAUUUUUUUAUUUCUUUUUUAGAAUCUUUAAAACAUCUGUUAUUGAAUUUUAUUGUUGCGUAUAUGCGUAGCCUGGUAAACAAUUUUAACAAAUAUUCUACCGGAAAACAAGAGCACGGAGUUUGUGGAGCUUUCAGAAGAAUUUGGCAGAAAUCAAGUUCACAAUUAGCAACAGGGGAAUUUUUCAACAUGUUGCAAAAAAAGAGCUUGGAAAAAGCUCUUCGGAACUGGAUGGGUGUAGGUUCAGUGCAAGAGCCACCUUGCUGCCUAAUUGACCCAAAAAAGUUUUCAAGAGCGUCUUGAUUUAGUCUUCGAGUAAAUAAAUACUGAAAUCCGUUUUCUUUGA